ACAGAAAACAGAAAAACAGGCGGCUCGGAAACCCGUGCGUCGUGUGGGGCUGCGGCAGAGCCUCUUUAAAGAAGGCGCAAGAGGUUGUCAGCUUCAAGUGAAGCACAUCGGCGCGGCGACAGCAGCCUGGAGUCAUGAGCGACAAGCGGCGAACAGAACUACGGCGAGCGGGAAUCGCAUUCUGCUUCCAGAAGUGGAAGUGCUCACGGAUGGGGGAAAUCUGCAAGGCAUACCCCUGCAAGGCCUCGCUCCAAGGAAGAUUCCAGGCGUUCCAGAUCAAAGUCCAGGUCCAUAUCUGAAUCUAGGUCUAGGUCCAGAAGAAACUCUCGAAGGCAUUGUACCAGGUCACGGUCUCGUUUCCGCUCUCAUAGACGAUCCGGAGCAGGUUUUACAGUCAAGAUUAUCACAGACGGCACAGCCACAGUCAUUCUCCUAUGUCUGCUCUCAGGCGUCAUGUUGGGAAUCGGGCGAAUCCUGAUCCCAACUGUUGUCUUGGAGUAUUUGGGUUGAGCUUGUACACCACAGAAAGAGAUCUAAGAGAAGUGUUCUCUAAAUAUGGUCCCAUUGCGUAUGUGUCUAUUGUAUAUGACCAGCAGUCUAAGCAUUCAAGAGGAUCUGCCUUUGUAUAUUUUGAAAAUGUGGAUGAUGCCAAGGAAGCUAAAGAAUGUGCCAAUGGAAUGGAGCUUGAUGGUCGUAGGAUCAGAGUUGAUGUCUCUAUAAUAAAAAGACCACAUACCCCAACACCAGGAAUUUACAUGGGAAGACCUACCUAUGGCAGUUCAUGCCAUCGGGAUUAUUAUGACAGAGCAUAGGAUGGAGGCUAUGAUGAUCGGGACAACUGUAGCAGAUCAUACAGAGGAGGAGGAGGUGGAGGAGGAGGAUGGAGAGCUGCUCAAGACAGGGAUCAGAUUUAUAGAAGGCGGUCGGUCACCUUCUCCUUACUACAGUCGUGGAGGAUACAGAUAACAUUCCAGAUCUUGAUCAUAUUCACCUCGUUGCUAUUAAAGCAUGAAGUUGAAGACUUUCUGAAACCUGCCCUAGAGCUGCGAUAUUGUUUGUGGACAAUAUUUUUUAUUGUCUCGUUUAAAAAGUGAA
This is an RNA transcript of Lemur catta (Ring-tailed lemur), 1095 nucleotides long. It is a transcript of the gene named transformer-2 protein homolog beta-like, with no coding region annotated. The record is from RefSeq and is a predicted model, not a curated record. NCBI's taxonomy places the organism in Eukaryota, Metazoa, Chordata, Mammalia, Primates, Lemuridae. The transcript has a single exon.